This 700-nucleotide ribosomal RNA is filed under the name uncultured bacterium. RNAcentral's name for it is "bacterial SSU rRNA". It matches the Rfam family "Bacterial small subunit ribosomal RNA", at positions 8 to 702 of the family's 1533-position model. The record is from RNAcentral.
AGAGUUUGAUCAUGGCUCAGAUUGAACGCUGGCGGCAUGCCUUACACAUGCAAGUCGAACGGCAGCACGGGUGCUUGCACCUGGUGGCGAGUGGCGAACGGGUGAGUAAUAUAUCGGAACGUACCUUAUUGUGGGGGAUAACGCAGCGAAAGCUGUGCUAAUACCGCAUAAUCCCUAAGGGGGAAAGCGGGGGACCGUAAGGCCUCGCGCAAUUAGAGCGGCCGAUACCUGAUUAGCUAGUUGGUGAGGUAAAGGCUCACCAAGGCAACGAUCAGUAGCUGGUCUGAGAGGACGAUCAGCCACACUGGGACUGAGACACGGCCCAGACUCCUACGGGAGGCAGCAGUGGGGAAUUUUGGACAAUGGGGGCAACCCUGAUCCAGCAAUGCCGCGUGAGUGAAGAAGGCCUUCGGGUUGUAAAGCUCUUUUGUCAGGGAAGAAACAGCAGCUCUAACACAGUCUGCGAAUGACGGUACCUGAAGAAUAAGCACCGGCUAACUACGUGCCAGCAGCCGCGGUAAUACGUAGGGUGCAAGCGUUAAUCGGAAUUACUGGGCGUAAAGCGUGCGCAGGCGGUUAUGUAAGACAGGCGUGAAAUCCCCGGGCUUAACCUGGGAAUUGCGCUUGUGACUGCAUAGCUAGAGUAUGUCAGAGGGGGGUAGAAUUCCACGUGUAGCAGUGAAAUGCGUAGAGAUGUGGA